Molecule: long non-coding RNA, 262 nt
Filed under: Elaeis guineensis (African oil palm)
Lineage: Eukaryota; Viridiplantae; Streptophyta; Magnoliopsida; Arecales; Arecaceae
Description: long non-coding RNA (EGUI_LNC020270)
Source: RNAcentral
GCCCAGGCGCGUAAGUGCGCGGACCGGCCUAGGCCCAGGCUUGCGAGGCACAGGCCAGGCCCAGAAACCCACUAGGAGCCCAUUUGCUCGAUCCACUGUGGAUCGGGUGAUGCAUAGAGGAGGGCGUGCACCACAUGGGCAUUUUCCACGCAUUUCUUACGGUCCACGGCACUAUUCCAAUACCCAAGAGAGAAGAAAGCCAAGAAUUAUUCUUGACUUGAGAAAGAAAAAAAUCAAGAAAGGUUCUUGAUAAAAGGAAGAA